Molecule: ribosomal RNA, 460 nt
Filed under: uncultured bacterium
Lineage: Bacteria
Description: partial 16S ribosomal RNA
Rfam family: Bacterial small subunit ribosomal RNA
Source: RNAcentral
CCUACGGGAGGCAGCAGUGAGGAAUAUUGGUCAAUGGUCGGGAGACUGAACCAGCCAAGCCGCGUGAGGGAGGAAGGUACAGAGUAUCGUAAACCUCUUUUGUCAGGGAACAAAGGCGGGGACGUGUCCCCGGAUGAGUGUACCUGAAGAAAAAGCAUCGGCUAACUCCGUGCCAGCAGCCGCGGUAAUACGGAGGAUGCGAGCGUUAUCCGGAUUUAUUGGGUUUAAAGGGUGCGCAGGCGGUCUGUUAAGUCAGUUGUGAAAGCUUGGGGCUCAACCCCAGACCCGCAGUUGAUCCGGGCAGCCUCGAGUACAGGAGAGGUAGGCGGAAUUCGUGGUGUAGCGGUGAAAUGCAUAGAUAUCGCGAAGAACUCCGAUUGCGAAGGCAGCCUGCGAGCCUGACACUGACGCUGAGGCUCGAAAGCGUGGGUAUCAAACAGGAUUAGAUACCCCGGUAGUC